UGUCAUUUCAAUGGUGAAUUCCAUCAGGUUAUUACCUUCUGAGUCCUUUGGCAGAAAUGGUGCCAUUUAUUUCCUCUGGGUUGAAGAAUACGUUUAACAGAUGUUUCUAGUUUGUUAUUAACUCAUCUCUGUGGGUAGUGAUUGCAGCAGACCUGGGGACUAGUUCUAAGUGCCAUUAUCAGAGGGCCGCUUUCUUCUACUUUUCGUUUUCUCUUGCAUUGUCCUUGCCUUGUAUCAUGUUUCCAAAUUUAUCUGCAGAACACAUUUCUAAUGAACAGAUGAGGCCCAAAAUUAUAACUAUCUAGUCUGAAAUAAUGAAAUGUGACUAAAAACAAAGUCAGUUCAACGAAAACCUGAAUUCCAUCAGGUUAUUACCUACUAAGUCAUUUGGUGGAAAUGGUGGCAUGUGUGUCCUCUGAAUGGAAUAAUAAGUUUAACAAAUGUUCCUAGUUUGUUGUUAACUUAUCUCUGUGGGCAGUGAUUGCAGCAGACCUAGGGACUAGCAAGUCUAUUGGUGGAAUUUCAUUGGAUACUAACAAUGUGGCAAUUGUACUUUCUUCGUUCAGAAUUUUCAUUUUCCUGAAAGACUUCUCCUCAUUCACUGGGAAACCCUUUAUUUUCAUUUAGUUGUCUGAUGGUCAAGUGCUUCUGUCUAGAGUCUCUGGUCAAGUAAAUUCCAUUAGGUGGGAACUUUUAGGGUGGAAAUUAUUAGUUAGGACCAGAUAUAAUGCUUCUUACAGAGACCAACCAUUUUGCUUGUAAUGAAAGUCUGAAACUGUUUUAAGCGUGGUUUUCAGAACCGGACCACUGACCGGUCUGUUCUAGUUUUGAAAUGGGUUUACUUAAAAAGAAAAAAAAAAAAAAAA
Molecule: unclassified non-coding RNA, 866 nt
Filed under: Hevea brasiliensis (rubber tree)
Lineage: Eukaryota; Viridiplantae; Streptophyta; Magnoliopsida; Malpighiales; Euphorbiaceae
Source: RNAcentral